This 1077-nucleotide long non-coding RNA is filed under the name Monodelphis domestica (gray short-tailed opossum). RNAcentral's name for it is "lncRNA (ENSMODG00000039061.1)". Lineage: Eukaryota; Metazoa; Chordata; Mammalia; Didelphimorphia; Didelphidae. The record is from RNAcentral.
CUCCAACUAGACCUCCCCCUUUCUCAAAGUUCUGCUACUGCAAGCAGACAGCUUGUCUCCCUGCUGGGAUAGCAGCCAGGGACUCCACUCUCCUGUGGAUGACUACAGCCAGCAGGCUCCCAGAGGAGCCCAGCUCAGCCUCAGCUCUCACCUGUGUGUGCUGCCUUUUUGUUUCUCCUCUCUCUAAACUGAAGCCUGAGACAGAACCAGUGUCUGGUUAGAGGGUCGGGGCCCUAGAAGUCGUUUCCUUUUUACUCAUCAACCCCAAACUGUGGGUGGGCAGAGGUCCUGGAGAGGAGCCUGAAGUCCACACAGGUGCUCCCAGGGCUUGCUGCCUGCAGACUCCACCAGUAUCCAGUGUCUGCUACUGGGAUAUAGACUUCCAAAUCAAGCAGAUAAGCUUCCAAGAGGUGGUGCUUCUUGGCUCGACUUUGAUCUUCCCGGACUCAUUUUCUCAUCUUCUCCUAUGGGCAAACCCACCUCACACCAUCAGGUGCUACAAGGUGCCAGGAAUGCAAAGAUGAUUGGAAUGGUCCUAUUUUCAAGGACGGUGUAAGAGAGGAAACUUAGACUUAAUCCACCAGAGGAAGAAGACAAGCAGAUUCAUCAUGCUGGAAGGCCAUCUUGAGCGGGGGAAGGGCAGGAAGGAAAGAGAAUUCCAUAGAAGGAACAGAGAAACUGAGGAGAUCCAGACAGUUGAAUUCAUUUCUCUUUGGGAAGCCCACCAGGGAGGUCGAUUUGAGUGAACCUCUGAGCCUUGAGCAUCCUCCUGUGAAACAAGACCCCAGUGUCCAGUGAAGACAACCCAGUGAAUAGAACUUUGCCAGAAAACUAUUCACCACAAGAAGAAUUCCUCUAAAUCCCUCUAAACAGUCCUUGAACUUGAUACUAGCUAGAACAGCUAGGAGUCAGGACAGCUCUCACAACUGAUCCCAGGCAGGAUGUUUGGGGAGAAGGAGUUCAAUUGUUAUUAUUAGGGACUUCCUAUAUUCCACCUUCCCAAUUGCCUUAUCCCACAAUUCAGUUGCCCUACCUUUCAUACCUUUCUUUAGAAUAAAUAGCCGUUUACUAGAUCCA